Molecule: ribosomal RNA, 468 nt
Filed under: uncultured bacterium
Lineage: Bacteria
Description: partial 16S ribosomal RNA
Rfam family: Bacterial small subunit ribosomal RNA
Source: RNAcentral
GACGAACGCUGGCGGCGGGCUUAACACAUGCAAGUCGAACGGAAAGGCCCUGCUUUUGUGGGGUGCUCGAGUGGCGAACGGGUGAGUAACACGUGAGUAACCUGCCCUUGACUUUGGGAUAACUUCAGGAAACUGGGGCUAAUACAGGAUAGGAGCUCCUGCUGCAUGGUGGGGGUUGGAAAGUUUCGGCGGUUGGGGAUGGGCUCGCGGCUUAUCAGCUUGUUGGUGGGGUAGUGGCUUACCAAGGCAUUGACGGGUAGCCGGCCUGAGAGGGUGACCGGCCACCAUGGGACUGAGAUACGGCCCAGACUCCUACGUGAGGCAGCAGUGGGGAAUAUUGCACAAUGGGCGCAAGCCUGAUGCAGCAACGCCGCGUGCGGGAUGACGGCCUUCGGGUUGUGAACCGCUUUCGCCUGUGACGAAGCGUGUGUGACGGUAAUGGGUAAAGAAGCACCGGCUAACUACGUG